GAUGAACGCUAGCGGCAGGCUUAACACAUGCAAGUCGAGGGGUAGAAGGAGCUUGCUCCUUUGAGACCGGCGCACGGGUGCGUAACGCGUAUGCAAUCUACCUUUUGCAGAGGAUAGCCCAGAGAAAUUUGGAUUAAUACCUCAUAGUAUGUGAGGAUGGCAUCAUUUUCACAUUAAAGUCACAACGGCAAAAGAUGAGCAUGCGUCCCAUUAGCUAGUUGGUAAGGUAACGGCUUACCAAGGCUACGAUGGGUAGGGGUCCUGAGAGGGAGAUCCCCCACACUGGUACUGAGACACGGACCAGACUCCUACGGGAGGCAGCAGUGAGGAAUAUUGGACAAUGGGCGCAAGCCUGAUCCAGCCAUGCCGCGUGCAGGAUGACGGUCCUAUGGAUUGUAAACUGCUUUUGUACAGGAAGAAACACUACUUCGUGAAGUAGCUUGACGGUACUGUAAGAAUAAGGAUCGGCUAACUCCGU
Molecule: ribosomal RNA, 478 nt
Filed under: uncultured bacterium
Lineage: Bacteria
Description: bacterial SSU rRNA
Rfam family: Bacterial small subunit ribosomal RNA
Source: RNAcentral